This 492-nucleotide ribosomal RNA is filed under the name uncultured bacterium. RNAcentral's name for it is "partial 16S ribosomal RNA". It matches the Rfam family "Bacterial small subunit ribosomal RNA", at positions 29 to 507 of the family's 1533-position model. The record is from RNAcentral.
AGUGAACGCUGGCGGUAGGCCUAACACAUGCAAGUCGAACGGCAGCACAGUAAGAGCUUGCUCUUACGGGUGGCGAGUGGCGGACGGGUGAGGAAUACAUCGGAAUCUACUUUUUUGUGGGGGAUAACGUAGGGAAACUUACGCUAAUACCGCAUACGACCUACGGGUGAAAGCAGGGGAUCUUCGGACCUUGCGCGAUUGAAUGAGCCGAUGUCGGAUUAGCUAGUUGGCGGGGUAAAGGCCCACCAAGGCGACGAUCCGUAGCUGGUCUGAGAGGAUGAUCAGCCACACUGGAACUGAGACACGGUCCAGACUCCUACGGGAGGCAGCAGUGGGGAAUAUUGGACAAUGGGCGCAAGCCUGAUCCAGCCAUACCGCGUGGGUGAAGAAGGCCUUCGGGUUGUAAAGCCCUUUUGUUGGGAAAGAAAAGCAGCAGGUUAAUACCCCGCCGUUCUGACGGUACCCAAAGAAUAAGCACCGGCUAACUUCGUG